This 2207-nucleotide long non-coding RNA is filed under the name Piliocolobus tephrosceles (Ugandan red Colobus). RNAcentral describes it as "lncRNA (ENSPTEG00000028538.1)". Lineage: Eukaryota; Metazoa; Chordata; Mammalia; Primates; Cercopithecidae. The record is from RNAcentral.
ACACCUUCAAAAAAUGAUAAAAACGUUUUUGAGGAUAAUGUUAAAAAUGAAAUGGAGCCAAAUAGUAUAAACGGUGAUAUUGGUAUUAAUAUUAAAUAUAUAUUUGGCAAUGCUGAUAUGGUUUUUCGAAAAAAUAAAUUUAGUGGACAUACGGUGCAUAUAAAUCAGGAAAAAGAACUGAUAAAAGAAAGUUGUGGUGGUAAUAGUGGUAGUAAUAAUAACAAAGAGAGCAACAAAAAAGAAGGUGACGACAACACAAGUGACGGUGGCGAAAACAAAAGUGAAGGUGACGAUAACAAAAAUAGAGACGGUGAUAGCGAUGGUAAUAGCGAUGGUAAUAGCGAUGGUGAUAGCGAUGGUGAUAGCGAUGGUAAUAGCGAUGGUAAUAGCGAUGGUGAUAGCGAUGGUGAUAGCGAUGGUGAUAGUGACGGUGAUAGCGAUGGUAAUGAAAACAAAAUUUUACUUGCAGACUUUAACAUAAUUUGUUUGAAAUGUAUGAACGAAAUGAAUCUGUCAAACCAACCAUUUUUAUGUUUGAACUGCUUCAAAAAUCAAAUGGUUUUAAAAAAAGUAAAAAGGAAUAAAAGAAAAAAUUAUAAAUUAAUGCAUAAAAUAUUUGAUAAUAAAUUAACUCACAUAAAUAAAUUGAUUUCUAAUUUUUUGAUGGAAGUUGAUAAAGUAAAAAAUAGUUUACAAUUAAGUUAUGAUGAGAUCGUGCAGGAGGUUAUAAAAAUGAAAAUAAAUAGUGCAUAUAAAUUACAAAAAAAUAUGUGCAAACUUUUUUUUAUUUAUUUUAAAAAUAUGAGUAAAUCAAAAAAUAAUAAUAAUAGUAAUAAUAAUAAUAGCAGUAAUAAUAAUAGCAGUAAUAAUAAUAGCAGUAAUAAUAAUAGCAGUAAUAAUAAUAAUAAUAAUAAUAAUAAUAAUGAUAAUAGUCCCAUUUCCAAAACAGAGUUUAAUGAUUCAAAGAAAGAACAUUAUAGUUCUAAUUAUAAAAACGUCCUUAAGAUGACAACAUCUGAAAGGGCUAAACAUCAAGCAAUGGACUAUUUACUUUAUGAUUCUGUAACACAAACAAAAGGAAAUUUUUUUCAAAAUUUUAUAGUAUGUGAUAAAAAUAUUUAUAAAGCUAUAAAAAAAAAAACUUAUGCUGAUAUGUCCUAUGUUUUAUUUUUUUAUAUGAAUUGUUAUAAAAAUUUGAGAAAAGGAGAAUUGAUGGAAAUACCUUUAUAUUUGGAGACAUAUAUGGAAACAACUACAUCUGGUAAUAGUAAUAAUUUCGAAAAAAAUGAUAAAGGUAUGACUGUUAGCGGUAACAAUGCUGAUUAUUAUAAAACAGAAAAAAAGCAAGAUGGUAUAAAAACUAGUACCACUAGCAGUAGUAACAAUAGUAGUAAUGGUAGUAGUACCGAUCCUAGUGGUAAUAGUAUACGUUUUGGGCUUAAAAAACAUAUUCACAAAAAUAAAUGUAAGGAUCCAGAAAAUGAAAAUACAUACAACCAUGAACAUGCACCUAGUUCAAGUGAAAAUAAUAGCAGUAGUGUAGAUAGUGAUAGCAGUUGUAAUAAUAUGGAAAAUAAUACUGAUAACACGAACAGAACUAAUAUAGGUGGAUAUUUUUUAUAUGCUCUUGUUAUAUCACACUAUACCUAUGCAUGUAAUCAUAUAUUAUCCCAAAACUGUAGUUACAAUAAAACAAACGAUAUGAAUUUUGCUAAUAAUAAUUAUAGCACUACUAGUAGUAGUAGUAGCAAUAACAACGAACAAAGUAAAGAUUAUUCAUAUUUAAUUUUCAGACCAUAUUUAAAUGGGUCAUGGUACAAAGUUUAUAAAAAUAGAAUAACCAAAUUAGAACAAACAUGUGAAUUUAAUGAAUGGAAAUUUCAUAAAGAUUUUUUUUGUUCUUGUUGUAUUUAUGUUUGUGAAUUUUAUUAUCAUUUACAUAAUUUUAUAUUUAUGCAUAAGUUUAAUAUAAAAGAUAUAAACUUUCCUUUGUAUAUACAUACAUUGCAAGAGUUUAAAAUUAAAGAGAGUGAUUUAUUUGAUUUUUACAACAAGGAGAAUAAAGAAAUUGUUGGUUCUCGUUUGGAUCAGCACCACCAGUUGAUGGAUGUUGUUGGUCACAACACUGUGUAUGAGAUACCGUCUUUGAGUAAGAGCGAACAAGAAAAGGGAACUGAAGAAGAAAAGGGAACUGAAGAAGAAAAGGG